AUGAACGCUGGCGGCGUGCCUAAUACAUGCAAGUCGAGCGAACAGACGAGGAGCUUGCUCCUCUGACGUUAGCGGCGGACGGGUGAGUAACACGUCGAUAACCUACCUAUAAGACUGGGAUAACUUCGGGAAACCGGAGCUAAUACCGGAUAAUAUAUUGAACCGCAUGGUUCAAUAGUGAAAGACGGUUUUGCUGUCACUUAUAGAUGGAUCCGCGCCGCAUUAGCUAGUUGGUAAGGUAACGGCUUACCAAGGCAACGAUGCGUAGCCGACCUGAGAGGGUGAUCGGCCACACUGGAACUGAGACACGGUCCAGACUCCUACGGGAGGCAGCAGUAGGGAAUCUUCCGCAAUGGGCGAAAGCCUGACGGAGCAACGCCGCGUGAGUGAUGAAGGUCUUCGGAUCGUAAAACUCUGUUAUUAGGGAAGAACAAAUGUGUAAGUAACUAUGCACGUCUUGACGGUACCUAAUCAGAAAGCCACGGCUAACUACGUG
Molecule: ribosomal RNA, 496 nt
Filed under: uncultured bacterium
Lineage: Bacteria
Description: partial 16S ribosomal RNA
Rfam family: Bacterial small subunit ribosomal RNA
Source: RNAcentral